Small nuclear RNA from Otolemur garnettii (small-eared galago), 107 nucleotides. The record is from Ensembl. NCBI's taxonomy places the organism in Eukaryota, Metazoa, Chordata, Mammalia, Primates, Galagidae.
GUGAUUGCUUUGGCUAUGCAUAUACUAAAAUUGGGAUGAUACAGAGAAGAUUAGCAUGGCCCCUGCUCAAGGAUGACAUGCAAAUUCAUGAAGCCUUCCAUAUUUCA